GCCGAGAUGGUGAAAUUGGUAUACACGCUACCUUGAGGUGGUAGUGCCUUCGGGCGUGCGGGUUCAAGUCCCGCUCUCGGCA
Non-coding RNA from Rheinheimera sp. A13L, 82 nucleotides. The record is from Rfam. NCBI's taxonomy places the organism in Bacteria, Pseudomonadati, Pseudomonadota, Gammaproteobacteria, Chromatiales, Chromatiaceae.